CGGGUGAUAGAGCAGUUGGUUAGCUUACUUGUCUGGGGGGCAAGUGGUCGCGGAUUCGAGUUCCGCUCACCCGA
This 74-nucleotide transfer RNA is filed under the name Treponema sp. Its description in RNAcentral is "tRNA-Pro". Lineage: Bacteria; Pseudomonadati; Spirochaetota; Spirochaetia; Treponematales; Treponemataceae. The record is from RNAcentral. RNAcentral also lists the same sequence under 1 other name.